Molecule: long non-coding RNA, 2157 nt
Organism: Dermochelys coriacea (leatherback sea turtle)
Lineage: Eukaryota; Metazoa; Chordata; Testudines; Dermochelyidae
Exons: 2
Source: RefSeq, a predicted model, not a curated record
CAGGUACACCACAACUUGGAAUUUGGAAAGAACCAAAAUAACCAGUUAGGACAGAAAUAGCAAAUGUGAUACCCAACCACAAAAGGGCCAUGGUAACGAAUGAAUGCAUAUGAUAAUAAGUUGAGACCACUAUCGGAUCACUAACCUAUAGGAAAAAGACACUCCAACAUUAUUAAGGUAUGGGUCCCAAUCAUCCAACAAACUUUGCAUGGGUGAAGCCUGUUGACUUCAGUGGGACUCUGCCCCGGCACAGAUGUCUGGCGAAAGAAAAUUUACUGAAUGAUGGAGGACUUCUUAGGCAAUUGACUAGGCCAUGGAUAACAGUCUUUUUAAAAGGAGAAGGGAGAUGGGUGGUUAUUUUUACAGAACAUAUGGCUAUGUUGUAAUGUUAGGUGCACAAUUCUUGCUGCUCUUGAUUGAGGAUGAGGAAGAGAUCAAAUGAAUGUGUGUAGGGAACAAUGACUCAUGUGGUUCCACUUCAAGGCUUCCCUUUGUCAAUCAGCCCAACCCAGAGAAAAACGCAGAAAAUUGCCCAGGGAUUUAUAAUUCCCUGAGAGUAUGGGAGCAUUUGAGAGAGGGGGAAGAAAUGGAGCUAUUCAAAGGCAUAGCAGAGUUACUCACAAUAUCUCAUGUUCCAGAUUUGUAUCCUGAACUUUCAAAAAAGCUGAAGGAAAAACUGAUUCUGGCUUUUUAUAAUAUUUUAUUUAAUGUUGGUCAAAAUAUAAUUAGUCCAUAUACACAACAGAAAGUUAUACCAUAAAAGGACCACCUGUGAGAGGGAUUUAGUCAAGGAUGGAGUGACAGUAAUAUCCAUUCCAUGCCAAGAAUAGUGGUAAGGCACAGAACACCCUCACAGCUUCUUUGAAGCAACUAUUACAGCUCAUGGCCAUGAUCCUGCAACUUGCUGUACAUGGGCAGACACCUAUGCAGAGCCAGUUUAACUUCAAUGGGGACCCAUGCAAGUGUAAGGGGCUGCCCAUAUGUAAGUCAACUGCAGGAUUAGGGCCGCUACUUAAAGCUCUUGUGCCCCACACAAUGAUUUUGACUGCUGGACUCAUCUGGCCUUAUGGUGCACCCCAACGUUUCCCUUGGGUGUGGCCUACAGAGCAGAGCCACAGUGUUUCCAAGGCUGUGCAAAUUCUUCCUGCUGUCUCCAGGGAAUCCCUCUACACAGUAGAGCUGUGCCAGUUCCACUGUUUUGGGUUUGUUGUCCAUGAGGAUCAAUGUUUUAUCCUGAAAGGAAGGCCAUCAAUUAUUUUUGCAAGUGAGACACUCUUACACAAUUAUUGUAAUUGUUCCCAUUCCUCACAGGAAAUACCUCCCUAAGCAAUGUUUAUAGAGUGCAGAAAAAUCAACUGACUAAAAACAAAUGAGAAAUGGUUAUGAAAAUCUCAUCAGUUAGCUUUCAAAGAAAUACAUACAAAACCAUCAAAAGUGGGAGGCAGAGUUCAGUUAUUAAAUCUCUGAAGGAGAUUGGUUAGGCACACAAGAAAGCUGAAUUAAGGUUGCAUGGGCAAGCUUAAUUCUGGCACUUCCUAACUUUUAAGUCCUUGAAUCUGCAACCUUAAUGUUCUUGUAAUGAAGUUUUUGUGUGGAAUUUCCUAGCUUUAAAAAAAACUAAAACAAAAAAACAAAUUCCAUCAUGCGGCAACACUGACACCACCACAUGGUUUAAUCAGCAGAUUUGGAGCCUUUAGAUCCACUGCACAGACCUCUGCCACUAAUGGAAUAACUGAUAGAGGUUGACAACCUUCUACUGCUAUGUGGGGGUUGACGACCACACAUUUUGCCAGUGAGUUUCACUGAUAUUUGUUGACAGCAGAGGAGUGAUGAGACUCAGAAAUCUUGAGUUCCAUUUUGGGCUCUCGAGGGGAACGUGCUGUAAUGGGCAGACUCUUCUGCCCCAUCCCUCCCAACCUGUCUGUCUUUUCCCCCUACUCCAAUCCUAUUCUCCUUGGUUAACUGAUCUUCUUUCAGCCAAUUCCCCUUCCUCUCCCAGCUCCUUUUCUGAUCCGUCUAUCCCUGCACCCUGGAUCCCAAUCUCUCUCUCUCUCUGGGCUUCUCAUCCCAAUCUCAGUCUUCCCUCCCCAUCCCCUGGCUCCUGUCCCAGUGUCUUUGCCUAGCUGGUCCUAGUUCUUCCCCCUCCCCAACUCCCAA